UUCGUGGAGGGUUUGAUCCUGGCUCAGGGUGAACGCUGGCGGCGUGCCUAACACAUGCAAGUCGAGCGGGUACCCGCAAGGGUACCAGCGGCGCACGGGUGAGUAACACGUGGGUAAUCUACCCCUCGGAGGGGGAUAACCGGGGGAAACUCCGGCUAAUACCCCAUACGAUCCAACAACACAAGUUGUUGGAUGAAAGGAGCGUUUGCUCCGCCGAGGGAUGAGCCCGCGGCCCAUCAGGUAGUUGGUGGGGUAAUGGCCCACCAAGCCUACGACGGGUAGCCGGCCUGAGAGGGUGGUCGGCCACAAGGGCACUGAGACACGGGCCCUACUCCUACGGGAGGCAGCAGUGGGGAAUCUUGGACAAUGGGCGAAAGCCUGAUCCAGCGACGCCGCGUGGGGGAUGAAGCCCUUCGGGGUGUAAACCCCUGUUGCGAGGGAGGAAUAAGGCCUGGAGGAAAUGCCAGGCCGAUGACUGUACCUCGCGAGGAAGCCCCGGCUAACUACGUGCCAGCAGCCGCGGUAAUACGUAGGGGGCGAGCGUUACCCGGAUUCACUGGGCGUAAAGCGGGUGUAGGCGGCUCGGUAAGUCGGGUGUGAAAUCCCACAGCUCAACUGUGGAAUUGCGCCCGAAACUGCUGAGCUUGGGGCCGGUAGAGGGAGACGGAACUGCCGGUGUAGGGGUGAAAUCCGUAGAUAUCGGCAGGAACGCCGGUGGGGAAGCCGGUCUCCUGGGCCGCGCCCGACGCUGAGACCCGAAAGCUAGGGGAGCAAACCGGAUUAGAUACCCGGGUAGUCCUAGCCGUAAACGAUGCCCACUAGGUGUGGGGGAUUAAUUCCUCCGUGCUGUAGCUAACGCGUUAAGUGGGCCGCCUGGGGAGUACGCCCGCAAGGGUGAAACUCAAAGGAAUUGGCGGGACCCCGCACAAGCGGUGGAGCGCGUGGUUUAAUUGGAUGCUGAGCCAAGAACCUUACCAGGGCUUGACAUGC
RNAcentral lists this ribosomal RNA (990 nucleotides) under Pseudothermotoga sp. RNAcentral describes it as "bacterial SSU rRNA". It matches the Rfam family "Bacterial small subunit ribosomal RNA", at positions 1 to 989 of the family's 1533-position model. Lineage: Bacteria; Thermotogati; Thermotogota; Thermotogae; Thermotogales; Thermotogaceae. The record is from RNAcentral.